GGGGGGUGUUGGGGGAAGUGUGGAAAGAGAAAAUAGAGAGAGUAGGACUGUGCCAAUUAUAUGUGAACCUAAAUACAAUAAAACCAACUUGCAUGUUAAAAUGCAGUAAAAACACACACACAAAAAAAAAGUUGAAACUCUCCCUUCUGUUCAGGUGGCCUUUCAGGGGAUAAUGGAAAAGAGAUUUGUCUAUAAAUAUAUGAUCCAUAUCAAAUUACCAACUAAAUACUCAACUCAACUGAGCUUUUAUCCAAAAAAUUUAUUGGGGUCGGUUAUAUGGAUUCUC
Molecule: unclassified non-coding RNA, 286 nt
Filed under: Hevea brasiliensis (rubber tree)
Lineage: Eukaryota; Viridiplantae; Streptophyta; Magnoliopsida; Malpighiales; Euphorbiaceae
Source: RNAcentral